GACGAACGCUGGCGGCGUGCUUAACACAUGCCAGUCGAACGGAAAGGCCCUGCUUUUGUGGGGUGCUCGAGUGGCGAACGGGUGAGUAACACGUGAGUAACCUGCCCUUGACUUUGGGAUAACUUCAGGAAACUGGGGCUAAUACCGGAUAGGAGCUCCUGCUGCAUGGUGGGGGUUGGAAAGUUUCGGCGGUUGGGGAUGGACUCGCGGCUUAUCAGCUUGUUGGUGGGGUAGUGGCUUACCAAGGCUUUGACGGGUGGCCGGCCUGAGAGGGUGACCGGCCACAUUGGGACUGAGAUACGGCCCAGACUCCUACGGGAGGCAGCAGUGGGGAAUAUUGCACAAUGGGCGGAAGCCUGAUGCAGCGACGCCGCGUGCGGGAUGACGGCCUUCGGGUUGUAAACCGCUUUCGCCUGUGACGAAGCGUGAGUGACGGUAAUGGGUAUAGAAGCACCGGCUAACUACGUG
Molecule: ribosomal RNA, 468 nt
Filed under: uncultured bacterium
Lineage: Bacteria
Description: partial 16S ribosomal RNA
Rfam family: Bacterial small subunit ribosomal RNA
Source: RNAcentral